Molecule: ribosomal RNA, 120 nt
Filed under: Candidatus Shapirobacteria bacterium GW2011_GWE2_38_30
Lineage: Bacteria; Candidatus Shapironibacteriota
Source: RNAcentral
GUUCUGGUCACCAGAGCAAGAUGGAACCACCUCUUCCCAUUCCGAACAGAGUCGUGAAACGUUUUAGCGCCGACAAUAGCUUUCCUGCAAGGGAUCUUGAAGAUAGGUCGUGGCCAGAAC